CAUUGUAGCAAUACAAGGCAUACGGCUCAGUAACGCGUAGUCAACCUAACCUAUGGACGGGAAUAACCUCGGGAAACUGAGAAUAAUGCCCGAUAGAACAUUAUACCUGGAAUGGUUUAUGUUCCAAAUGAUUUAUCGCCGUAGGAUGGGACUGCGGCCUAUCAGUUUGUUGGUGAGGUAAUGGCCCACCAAGACUAUUACAGGUACGGGCUCUGAGAGGAGUAGCCCGGAGAUGGGUACUGAGACACGGACCCAGGCCCUAUGGGGCGCAGCAGGCGAGAAAACUUUGCAAUGUGCGAAAGCACGACAAGGUUAAUCCGAGUGAUUUCUGCUAAAGAAAUCUUUUGUUAGUCCUAGAAACACUAACGAAUAAGGGGUGGGCAAGUUCUGGUGUCAGCCGCCGCGGUAAAACCAGCACCUCAAGUGGUCAGGAUGAUUAUUGGGCCUAAAGCAUCCGUAGCCGGCUCUGUAAGUUUUCGGUUAAAUCUGUACGCUUAACGUACAGGCCGCCGGGAAUACUGCAAAGCUAGGGAGUGGGAGAAGUAGACGGUACUCGGUAGGAAGUGGUAAAAUGCUUUGAUCUAUCGAUGACCACCUGUGGCGAAGGCGGUCUACUAGAACACGUCCGACGGUGAGGGAUGAAAGCUGGGGGAGCAAACCGGAUUAGAUACCCGGGUAGUCCCAGCUGUAAACUAUGCAAACUCAGUGAUGCAUUGGCUUGUGGCCAAUGCAGUGCUGCAGGGAAGCCGUUAAGUUUGCCGCCUGGGAAGUACGUACGCAAGUAUGAAACUUAAAGGAAUUGGCGGGGGAGCACCACAAGGGGUGAAGCCUGCGGUUCAAUUGGAUUCAACGCCGGG
RNAcentral lists this ribosomal RNA (857 nucleotides) under uncultured archaeon. RNAcentral describes it as "bacterial SSU rRNA". It matches the Rfam family "Archaeal small subunit ribosomal RNA", at positions 60 to 922 of the family's 1478-position model. The record is from RNAcentral.